AUUGAACGCUGGCGGCAGGCUUAACACAUGCAAGUCGAACGAGUGGCGGACGGGUGAGUCAUGCUUGUGCAUCUGGCUGAUGGAGUGGGAUAACUACUGGAAACUGUAGCUGAUACCGCAUACCAUAGGCUCAGCCCAGGGGGGAUUAGGUAGUUGGUGGGGUAAAGGCUCACCAAGCCGACGAUCUCUAGCUGGUCUGAGAGGAUGACCAGCCACAGGGGGACUGAGAAGCGGCCCAGACUCCUACGGGGGGGAGAGGUGGGGAAUAGUGCGCAAUGGGGGCAGCCGUGAGGCAGCAAUGCCGCGUGGAUGAAGAAGGCGUGGGGGUUGUAAAGUACUUUCAGCGGGGAGGCGUUAUCUACAGAAGAAGUACCGGCUAACUCCGUGCCAGCAGCCGCGGUAAUAC
RNAcentral lists this ribosomal RNA (406 nucleotides) under uncultured bacterium. RNAcentral's name for it is "partial 16S ribosomal RNA". It matches the Rfam family "Bacterial small subunit ribosomal RNA", at positions 29 to 526 of the family's 1533-position model. The record is from RNAcentral.